This 74-nucleotide transfer RNA is filed under the name Desulfolutivibrio sulfodismutans. RNAcentral's name for it is "Desulfovibrio sulfodismutans tRNA". It matches the Rfam family "tRNA". From Rfam's summary of the family: Transfer RNA (tRNA) molecules are approximately 80 nucleotides in length. Their secondary structure includes four short double-helical elements and three loops (D, anti-codon, and T loops). Lineage: Bacteria; Pseudomonadati; Thermodesulfobacteriota; Desulfovibrionia; Desulfovibrionales; Desulfovibrionaceae. RNAcentral also lists the same sequence under 1 other name. The record is from Rfam by way of RNAcentral.
GGGCAGUUAGCUCAGUUGGAUAGAGCGUUGGCCUCCGGAGCCAAAGGCCACAGGUUCGAAUCCUGUACUGCCCA